CCUUUGGAGGGUUUGAUCCUGGCUCAGAGUGAACGCUGGCGGCGUGGAUUAGGCAUGCAAGUCGAGCGAUCGAAAUUUUGAAGCAAUUGAAGUCUUCGGACUGAUUUUGUGGAUGAAUUUCUGAUAGCGGCAAACGGGUGAGUAACACGUGGGUAAUCUGCCCUAGAGAGGAGGAUAGCUUCGAGAAAUCGGAGGUAAUACUCCAUACAGUUUCAGCAUUAAUUUGUUGAAAUCAAAGAUGGCUUAGGACUUCGGUCCGCUGUCGCUUUAGGAGGGGCCCGCGGCCUAUCAGGUAGUUGGUAGAGUAAUAGCCUACCAAGCCAGAGACGGGUAGCUGGCAUUAGCGUGUGGUCAGCCACAUCGGGACUGAGACACUGCCCGGACUCCUACGGGAGGCUGCAGUCGAGAAUCUUUCCCAAUGGGCGAAAGCCUGAGGAUGCGACGCCGCGUGGAGGAUGAAGGC
RNAcentral lists this ribosomal RNA (463 nucleotides) under Candidatus Omnitrophota bacterium. Its description in RNAcentral is "bacterial SSU rRNA". It matches the Rfam family "Bacterial small subunit ribosomal RNA", at positions 1 to 415 of the family's 1533-position model. Lineage: Bacteria; Pseudomonadati; Candidatus Omnitrophota. The record is from RNAcentral.